GUUGAUAUAGAUUAAUUUAAAUUGCUGAAUUGUGGUUUCAGAGAUGUAUCUCUUAUACUUUCAACC
RNAcentral lists this transfer RNA (66 nucleotides) under Halosydna sp. YZ-2018. Its description in RNAcentral is "tRNA-His". Lineage: Eukaryota; Metazoa; Annelida; Polychaeta; Phyllodocida; Polynoidae. The record is from RNAcentral.